This 468-nucleotide ribosomal RNA is filed under the name uncultured bacterium. RNAcentral's name for it is "partial 16S ribosomal RNA". It matches the Rfam family "Bacterial small subunit ribosomal RNA", at positions 28 to 507 of the family's 1533-position model. The record is from RNAcentral.
GACGAACGCUGGCGGCGUGCUUAACACGUGCAAGUCGAACGGAAAGGCCCUGCUUUUGUGGGGUGCUCGAGUGGCGAACGGGUGAGUAACACGUGAGUAACCUGCCCUUGACUUUGGGAUAACUUCAGGAAACUGGGGCUAAUACCGGAUAGGAGCUCCUGCUGCAUGGUGGGGGUUGGAAAGUUUCGGCGGUUGGGGAUGGACUCGCGGCUUAUCAGCUUGUUGGUGGGGUAGUGGCUUACCAAGGCUUUGACGGGUAGCCGGCCUGAGAGGGUGACCGGACACAUUGGGACUGAGAUACGGCCCAGACUCGUACGGGAGGCAGCAGUGGGGAAUAUUGCACAAUGGGCGGAAGCCUGAUGAAGCAACGCCGCGUGCGGGAUGACGGCCUUCGGGUUGUAAACCGCUUUCGCCUGUGACGAAGCGUGAGUGACGGUAAUGGGUAAAGAAGCACCGGCUAACUACGUG